Aedes albopictus (Asian tiger mosquito) is the source of this 651-nucleotide long non-coding RNA. RefSeq lists it as uncharacterized. Lineage: Eukaryota; Metazoa; Arthropoda; Insecta; Diptera; Culicidae. The record is from RefSeq and is a predicted model, not a curated record. The transcript has 2 exons.
AGUUCAAGCGCGAUUUCCGUAGAGUCCGGAGCGACACUAAAUCGGGCGGUGGAGCUAUCCUGAAUAUUAAAAGGCGUCCGACGCUUGAUCUUAUAUGCUCUAGCCAGUGGUCACGUCAACCGAUAGUUGUGGAACGAUAUAACUCGAACGGAACGAUCAGUGUCCUGCUCUUUGGCUUUAGGAGUGUAUCGUACAAAAGGCCCCAUCCAGGGGCCUUUAAGCGUAUCGACUGUUCCUCCACUUGGCGUCGUGGUCAAAUUGGCGUCACUAUGCACUCAUGGUAUGGCAUCGGGAGAGGCGGCGAAGAAGAGGUAGCCGGUUGGAGUCCUCAAUGCAAAUCUGGCGGUGAUCAAGGGAGAGAGGGGAUCAUCAGCGCUUGCUCCGCCGCGUGUAGGAGAAAUGUCCGCAACAGCGUAAGCCACAUCAGAGGGAGUACGGUGAACGGAGAGUGGACCAGAGAGGGAUCGACAGCAGAAGUGGUGGUUGUAAGGGUGCACCCUAACUGUGAGUACUCACGUGAAGAAGAGAGAACAAAAUGUAAACCGAUUAGGGAAGAUGAAACAUAGGAAAGCGGUAAUAGGUAGGAGGUGAGGAAAGGAAUGAGGUUGUAUGUAGUAAGGUUGAGGCCAAAAUAUACGUAGAUGAAAACAA